AAUUUGAUUAAAUAUAUUAUUAGGAGUUUAUAUUAGCCACCUGUUCUUGUUUUUUCUUUCUUGCACAUGCAUUAUUCAUUUUGUAUGCCUGCAUUCUACAUGCCUGAAAUUUUGCUGCUUUGGUGCAGGAAAGAUGGGUGCUCUUUUGUAUUUUUUGGGAAGUUUCUUGGGAUAUGAUUUUUGGUCAUGGGGAAGGUAAUUUGACCAUGUUAUUAUUAUUUGCUUAAAAGUUUUUGUGCAUGAUUAUUUCUUUGAAUUCCAAUGCAAACUCUUUCACAUCUCCUAAAUUACAACUUGCUAUUUUAACUCCCAUUUCUUUCUUUCUUUCUAUCGUUUGUUUUUCCUCCUGCCUUUCUCCAUGAAAAAAUUUCUAGUAAUCCCUCUGUCUCAAAUUAUCUAUAUUAAUUUUUAAAAAUAGUUAUCUCAAAUUAUUUAUUAUUUUAAAAAUUUAAGAGUAAUUUCUUUUCCUAUUCUACAUUUAAUAAUAAUUAUUCUUAAAGGCUACAAAUACUUUAAUUAUAAGUAAGUUUGAAAUGAAAAUAGAUUAUAUAUCUUAAGAUAUAAUUAAGGGUAAAAUAAUCAAAAACUUUUUCAAUCUAAUAUCUUCUUAAAAAGCAUGUAAAAGAAUGCUACAGAUAAUUUGAUACACACGGAGUAUCAAACAAUCAAUUUAGAUUCGGAAUUUGAAUAUGUGGGUUCGAAUCAGGGGCGGAUCCACCCCUUUAGGAAGGGGUGGCAUGCACCCGUUGAGAUGAUAAAAUUUUCACAUAUUUAUAUUAAAAUUUUCUUAAACUAGGUUAAAUAUAUGAUCCUCCCACCCGCAAUCGUAAACAAGAUAAAGGUGUCAUCGCUGGUAAAUAUUUUUGGUAAGUUUUUCUCGUGCGUAAAAUUCAAGCUGGAAUUUAAUUUGAACCUUAUCGGACUUUCCCUUUUCUUUGUAUUUUUUAUUUUUUUUACCCCAAUGAUUCUCCUUUCGGCUAUCUCUCCAUUUUCAAUUUGUCGUUUUAUUAGUUUUGUAUAUUUUUUUCUCUCUCCAUUCUAUAUUAUUUUAACUUAUGAAAUUUCUUUCAAAAUGCUAACCUUGGCAAUAGGCUCCAAAAUGCUCCCAGAUCAUCCAAACUAGGUCCGGGCAUACACCCUAGUCUGAACGUUCCCGGGUCAUCCAAAAUCUGGUCUGAGCAUACACCCUAGUCCGAAAUCAUCAUACGAACCUGCUGUAACCUUUGAAUCACUAUUCCGAGGUCUUUUACUCAAAAAUUUCAAUCCUACUUAAUUUUUUCAACUUAAAGCUUCCGAAAUGAGAAUUCUCUUUCCAAAUCAACUCCGAACUUCUCGAAAUUCAAUUCCGACAAUGCAUACAAGUCAUACUACCUUAAAUGAAGCUGUUCGUGGCAUCAAACUGCUGAAUGGCACUUUAUAGUUCAAAACGACCUGUCGAAUCAUUACAGAUAUUCGAGAUGUUAUCUUUAUAUUUAUAAAAUAAU
This 1484-nucleotide long non-coding RNA is filed under the name Nicotiana benthamiana. RNAcentral describes it as "long non-coding RNA (NBEN_LNC015319)". Lineage: Eukaryota; Viridiplantae; Streptophyta; Magnoliopsida; Solanales; Solanaceae. The record is from RNAcentral.